Molecule: ribosomal RNA, 162 nt
Filed under: Fritillaria pallidiflora
Lineage: Eukaryota; Viridiplantae; Streptophyta; Magnoliopsida; Liliales; Liliaceae
Description: partial 28S ribosomal RNA
Rfam family: Eukaryotic large subunit ribosomal RNA
Source: RNAcentral
GACCCCAGGUCAGGCGGGGACACCCGCUGAGUUUAAGCAUAUCAAUAAGCGGAGGAGAAGAAACUUACAAGGAUUCCCCUAGUAACGGCGAGCGAACCGGGAUCACCCCAGUUUGAGAAUCGGGGGGUUGCCCCCCCCAAUUGUAAUCUGGAAAAAACCUCA